RNAcentral lists this non-coding RNA (27 nucleotides) under Homo sapiens (human). Lineage: Eukaryota; Metazoa; Chordata; Mammalia; Primates; Hominidae. The record is from RNAcentral.
AGGAUAAUUUUGAAGACUCUGGUUGCC